GAUGAAGAACGUAGCGAAAUGCGAUAAGUAGUGUGAAUUGCAGAAUUCAGUGAAUCAUCGAAUCUUUGAACGCACAUUGCGCCCCUUGGUAUUCCAUGGGGCAUGCCUGUUCGAGCGUCAUUUGUACCUUCAAGCUCUGCUUGGUGUUGGGUGUUUGUCUCGCCUUUGCGUGUAGACUCGCCUCAAAACAAUUGGCAGCCGGCGUAUUGAUUUCGGAGCGCAGUACAUCUCGCGCUUUGCACUCAUAACGACGACGUCCAAAAGUACAUUUUACACUCUUGACCUCGGAUCAGGUAGGGAUACCCGCUGAACUUAAGCAUAUCAAUAAGCGGAGGA
RNAcentral lists this unclassified non-coding RNA (336 nucleotides) under soil metagenome. Its description in RNAcentral is "partial contains 5.8S ribosomal RNA, internal transcribed spacer 2, and large subunit ribosomal RNA". The stretch from base 1 to 120 matches the Rfam family "5.8S ribosomal RNA", at positions 35 to 154 of the family's 154-position model. The record is from RNAcentral.